This 252-nucleotide ribosomal RNA is filed under the name uncultured Geodermatophilaceae bacterium. RNAcentral's name for it is "partial 16S ribosomal RNA". It matches the Rfam family "Bacterial small subunit ribosomal RNA", at positions 355 to 615 of the family's 1533-position model. The record is from RNAcentral. Lineage: Bacteria; Bacillati; Actinomycetota; Actinomycetes; Geodermatophilales; Geodermatophilaceae.
UGGGAAGUAUUGCUCAUGGGCAGGAAGACCUCGACGCAGCGACGCCGCGUGAGGGACGAAGGCCUUCGGGUUGUAAACCUCUUUCAGCAGGGACGAAGCGAAAGUGACGGUACCUGCAGAAGAAGCACCGGCCAACUACGUGCCAGCAGCCGCGGUAAUACGUAGGGUGCAAGCGUUGUCCGGAAUUAUUGGGCGUAAAGAGCUCGUAGGCGGUCCGUUGCGUCGGCUGUGAAAAACCCGAGGCUCAAGCCU